Molecule: long non-coding RNA, 311 nt
Filed under: Vigna radiata
Lineage: Eukaryota; Viridiplantae; Streptophyta; Magnoliopsida; Fabales; Fabaceae
Description: long non-coding RNA (VRAD_LNC013576)
Source: RNAcentral
UUUCUGCUUUCUUUUCCUUGCUUUGCUAUCUCACCAGCUUUUGUGCAUUUUAUUACUUAUUUGUUUAUAACGUUGGUUUAGCUGAAAUCUCUAUCUUAUGCCUACUUNUCUACCUCAUCAUUUCCAUAUUUUAUGCACUUAAUUUUUGGUUCAACUUGCAGUACCAUAAAGCGUUUCUGGUCUUUUAGCCAGGUCUUAUAUUUAAUUCACACAUGCCACAAAUAUAACAAUCAACAAUACUAGCCAAGCCUUAUUCUCACCGAAUACUUUCAGCUAUAUGGAUUAUAAGGGUCUAAUUUCAAAAUUAUGGA